RNAcentral lists this signal recognition particle RNA (66 nucleotides) under Hyphomonadaceae bacterium. RNAcentral's name for it is "partial signal recognition particle sRNA small type". It matches the Rfam family "Bacterial small signal recognition particle RNA", at positions 1 to 66 of the family's 97-position model. From Rfam's summary of the family: The signal recognition particle (SRP) is a universally conserved ribonucleoprotein involved in the co-translational targeting of proteins to membranes. The record is from RNAcentral. Lineage: Bacteria; Pseudomonadati; Pseudomonadota; Alphaproteobacteria; Hyphomonadales; Hyphomonadaceae.
GCAGGUUGGUUGCGGACGAGCAGUUCGCCAACCCGGUCAGGUCCGGAAGGAAGCAGCCGUAACGAG